This 1282-nucleotide ribosomal RNA is filed under the name Staphylococcus aureus. RNAcentral's name for it is "partial 23S ribosomal RNA". It matches the Rfam family "Bacterial large subunit ribosomal RNA", at positions 280 to 1561 of the family's 2925-position model. The record is from RNAcentral. Lineage: Bacteria; Bacillati; Bacillota; Bacilli; Caryophanales; Staphylococcaceae.
AAGCUUGCUUGUUGGGGUUGUAGGACACUCUAUACGGAGUUACAAAGGACGACAUUAGACGAAUCAUCUGGAAAGAUGAAUCAAAGAAGGUAAUAAUCCUGUAGUCGAAAAUGUUGUCUCUCUUGAGUGGAUCCUGAGUACGACGGAGCACGUGAAAUUCCGUCGGAAUCUGGGAGGACCAUCUCCUAAGGCUAAAUACUCUCUAGUGACCGAUAGUGAACCAGUACCGUGAGGGAAAGGUGAAAAGCACCCCGGAAGGAGAGUGAAAUAGAACCUGAAACCGUGUGCUUACAAGUAGUCAGAGCCCGUUAAUGGGUGAUGGCGUGCCUUUUGUAGAAUGAACCGGCGAGUUACGAUUUGAUGCAAGGUUAAGCAGUAAAUGUGGAGCCGUAGCGAAAGCGAGUCUGAAUAGGGCGUUUAGUAUUUGGUCGUAGACCCGAAACCAGGUGAUCUACCCUUGGUCAGGUUGAAGUUCAGGUAACACUGAAUGGAGGACCGAACCGACUUACGUUGAAAAGUGAGCGGAUGAACUGAGGGUAGCGGAGAAAUUCCAAUCGAACCUGGAGAUAGCUGGUUCUCUCCGAAAUAGCUUUAGGGCUAGCCUCAAGUGAUGAUUAUUGGAGGUAGAGCACUGUUUGGACGAGGGGCCCCUCUCGGGUUACCGAAUUCAGACAAACUCCGAAUGCCAAUUAAUUUAACUUGGGAGUCAGAACAUGGGUGAUAAGGUCCGUGUUCGAAAGGGAAACAGCCCAGACCACCAGCUAAGGUCCCAAAAUAUAUGUUAAGUGGAAAAGGAUGUGGCGUUGCCCAGACAACUAGGAUGUUGGCUUAGAAGCAGCCAUCAUUUAAAGAGUGCGUAAUAGCUCACUAGUCGAGUGACACUGCGCCGAAAAUGUACCGGGGCUAAACAUAUUACCGAAGCUGUGGAUUGUCCUUUGGACAAUGGUAGGAGAGCGUUCUAAGGGCGUUGAAGCAUGAUCGUAAGGACAUGUGGAGCGCUUAGAAGUGAGAAUGCCGGUGUGAGUAGCGAAAGACGGGUGAGAAUCCCGUCCACCGAUUGACUAAGGUUUCCAGAGGAAGGCUCGUCCGCUCUGGGUUAGUCGGGUCCUAAGCUGAGGCCGACAGGCGUAGGCGAUGGAUAACAGGUUGAUAUUCCUGUACCACCUAUAAUCGUUUUAAUCGAUGGGGGGACGCAGUAGGAUAGGCGAAGCGUGCGAUUGGAUUGCACGUCUAAGCAGUAAGGCUGAGUAUUAGGCAAAUCCGGUACUCGUUAAGGCUGAGC